UUAUCAAGAAUGAGGAAUGGUGCAGUAUUCUAGUCAGUCCUCCGUUCCUGAAGGCGGGCCUAAAAAUCCGCCAAAGGGCACAUCGAUGAAGUUCCUUGUGUUGGCUUGAGGCGCCCAGCCUUGGGUCGAUGCUGGGAGUUAAGGUUUUCGGGCGAUCCACAAAGGCAUGUGGGCGUUGACCCGAUUACCGCGGAGGCCCAUCUCUGUCGUGACUGCUAAGCCUAGGAGUCAUUAUGGAAUGGGGUAUGAACCUGCUUAAUUGGGUAAGGGACACCUUGUUAGCAGCGUAGCCUGCCUUGAGUGGUGUCUGAGGGGAUUAGAGUCUUAAAUAUGAGUACUGGUGGCCACAGAACUUAUAUUUUUAUCUCUAUGAAAUCAGCACUGCAAAAGAGGCUAGGGAACGGCUAAAGACUGUUGAGGAAAACUCCUAGACUGUUCUUGGACAUUUAAAAGGGAUUAUAGUGUGGACUAAGUGGUAAUCCAGUCUGGCUAAUGGCGACAUAGCUAAGAUGGGUUUAAAGGGGAACCUCCUUUUAUGGCAACAUAGGGUACCCAUCUGGGAAAACCUACUGGACCUAAGCCGCAGUUUUUACCUUUUAAAUGACCAUUCCUUCUUACAUAAUA
Molecule: small RNA, 624 nt
Filed under: Virgibacillus sp. SK37
Lineage: Bacteria; Bacillati; Bacillota; Bacilli; Caryophanales; Bacillaceae
Source: RNAcentral